CCUGAGCUGCUUGGUGGCUGUGGGCAGGGUGCACGCAGAUUUGGCCAGCAGCCCCGCGACAAGGACUGCCCUCGAUGCCGAGGCGGUACAGUUCGUCUCUAGGCACACGGCCGACGAGAAGUUUCUUUUCAUAAACAAGAAAUCUGGACCUGGUGAACAGCUUCGCGAGUCGGGACAUCCUGACGGCCGGAAGUCGGGGCAACAGUGAAGGAAAUGACGAGGCAGCCAUGGCGAUCAUCAUGAGCUUGCUGGAAGUGGACGCUGGAUUUGGUGCACCGGUGGACUUCAGUGGCAUGCUGGGGCCCUUGCCUUGAGACACCCGUUCGCACUCCUGUUUACGCGGACCUCUCGCGAACCGCUUCUCACGUCGAACAGAGAAUACAGAAUCUAUGGACACUCAUGCGAAGACAUUGCAUGUUUUCUGUAUUCACUCCGAAGUGCGUGUACUUUACCGCACAGAACACGCUUCGGCAAAGACCGAGCCCAGAAGGAAACGUUUCAAGGAACUGACGUUCAUCUCUUCCAGCGUGGUUCGCGGUAAACCACGUGGCGUACUUGUCGUACAGUGCUGGUUUAAUUAUUUAGGCUUCCUGUGUUUUAACAGCAAGUUCUGCUUCGAUAAUGUGCUCCAUUAUUUCCCUGUCCACAGAUUGGCAUGGGACCAUGUGAUACAGCCGCUUCGCUAUGGUCGUUAAGAUAUACUGUACACCCUUGCUGCGCCUUCCCUGAAUGCGUAGACGCACACAUUUGGAAUCACAGGCCUCAAUAAAAGAUUAAUUAAGGAGCA
This is a long non-coding RNA of Rhipicephalus microplus (southern cattle tick), 787 nucleotides long. Lineage: Eukaryota; Metazoa; Arthropoda; Arachnida; Ixodida; Ixodidae. The record is from RefSeq and is a predicted model, not a curated record.